GGAAUUGAUUAUCCAAGAGAAAAAGGAAUUGUGUUUGGAAGAAAUACGAUAAGUACAUAAGGAUUUUAAUAGAUUAAGUAAUAAGGUAAGAUCUCCGCUUUUCAAUCAUUAAGGUUUCAGAAAAUUGAAUGUUUCAAAAAAUAUAAUUUCCUAGGAUUCUUUAGAUUAGUCCAUCACAUCUAUAAAGGAGGCAAGAUAAUGGAAAACAAAUUACCUCCUUCAAAAAACAUUUUCCCAGAGAAAAAUAUAGGAUUCAUU
RNAcentral lists this unclassified non-coding RNA (258 nucleotides) under Hevea brasiliensis (rubber tree). Lineage: Eukaryota; Viridiplantae; Streptophyta; Magnoliopsida; Malpighiales; Euphorbiaceae. The record is from RNAcentral.